UACGGGGGGGGGCGAGCGUUGUUCGGAAUUAUUGGGCGUAAAGGGUGCGUAGGCGGUUUGGUAAGUCUGAUGUGAAAUCUAUGGGCUCAACUCAUAGUCUGCAUCGGAAACUGCCGGGCUUGAGUAUGGGAGAGGUGAGUGGAAUUCCUGGUGUAGCGGUGAAAUGCGUAGAUAUCAGGAGGAACACCUGUGGCGAAAGCGGCUCACUGGACCAUAACUGACGCUGAUGCACGAAAGCUAGGGGAGCAAACAGG
Molecule: ribosomal RNA, 254 nt
Filed under: uncultured bacterium
Lineage: Bacteria
Description: partial 16S ribosomal RNA
Rfam family: Bacterial small subunit ribosomal RNA
Source: RNAcentral